Molecule: non-coding RNA, 65 nt
Organism: Mus musculus (house mouse)
Lineage: Eukaryota; Metazoa; Chordata; Mammalia; Rodentia; Muridae
Source: Rfam
GGUGGCGCAGUGGGUAGAGCUCCUGUCUAUCAUGCAGAAAACCCUGGGUUCAAUCCCCAGCACCA